This is a long non-coding RNA of Carassius carassius (crucian carp), 404 nucleotides long. RefSeq lists it as uncharacterized. The record is from RefSeq and is a predicted model, not a curated record. The transcript is spliced from 3 exons. NCBI's taxonomy places the organism in Eukaryota, Metazoa, Chordata, Actinopteri, Cypriniformes, Cyprinidae.
AAGAUAAGACAUUCUUGAGGUCUAAUACACUCUUGCUUUCUGUCAUUUUUUUUUUGUAAUAUCUUAUAUGUAUUUUCUUGAAUUAUUUUUUGAUUGCUUGCUGAGUAUCAAAAUUUGAACUUACAAGUGCAUGAAACCAAACAAACAAAAUUAUUGUUUUAGGUACGCAGGAAUUAAUUGUCCCAACCAGACAGAGUAGAAUGAUUCAGAGGUGUGGAAAUAAAGGCCUAAAAAUGUUUGCCAACUGAGCUCCAUGCUGCCGAGUGACCGCCGCUUCCUCAGGCAUCAAUAAUACAAGAGGAAGUUAUUGUUCCGCUGCAGGCGACAGCAACACAGAAUUAAAAGGCUUGUGGGGAGGCUGUGCUAGGCCUUUCACUCAAUCCACUCGGGUUUCAGCUGCUGUA